AGACGUCUGGAGUUUUCCAGCAGAGGUACCUAGCACUUUUCCAGGUAACUGUACGGUCUCUGAAGUUUGCUGGUCCUGAGCAGGCCACAGCUGCAAGCACAGAAAACUCAAAAAUCAUACCAUAGCUAUUUAUUUUUUUCUGGACAAACAAUUUUAUUUUAGGUAAUGCGUCUAUACACUGUACAUUCAGUCACUGUGGUAUAUAAGCAUAGCUAUUUUCAUACAUAAUCUCAUAAAGUCCUUUAUUUUACAAUAUUAUCUGCUUCAAGGGGAGGGCAUGUGGAAAAGGGGGUGGAAAAGGACUAUCAAGGUACACAGCGAAAUAGAUAAAUAUGCCAAGCUUUUUUCUUAUUUUUUUUUAAAUCAGGCAUUUAUAAACAAGAAAGCAUACAUUACUUACAUAAAAAUAGUUCUAGAAUAGUAGAGUAAGUCAUAAUAUUGUCAUUAGCAGCAGCAUAGGAGAGACCAGGAUAACAAAAAUGUGCUGAAAUGCUAUUGGCUAUUAUAAAUGUAAAGAUUUAUUUUUCUUCAAUUGAAAAAAUGUCAUUUCUGUGAGUUCUUUUGAUUAAAAAAAAAAAAAAAAAGGAAAACAAACAAAAAACCAAAAACAAAACAACAACCAAACCAACAAAAAACUUCUCUCAAAAACACAUGGACUGAUGAGAGGGCAGAAUGGAAAGAAAAUCAAUCUUUUGGUAAUAAAAUACUUUACAGUGAAAAUAAGGACAAAUAAAAUGCAAAUGAUGGAGAAAGGUUAACCCACAUUUAAAACUUGCAAAAAGAUUUUGUUUUGUUUUUCCUAACAGACAGCAAAGGUUCUUCUUAGUUAAAAACACAACUCAUAAAACAAGACAACUACCAGGAAACUAAAGAGCAGAUGAAAUGAGAAGAUGUGACUUUACAAUUCCUACACUCACAGGCUGGAGUGCAAAUGGAAUGCAGCAGGGACUCCACAAUUUCAUUAAUUUUGGAGGAUAAAAGCAUCAUAUGCACAGCAGAAAUUGUACCAGUGAAUCAGCAUACUCCCCUAGAUGCACAAGAAAGAAAAACUAUGUCGGGUGCUGCAGGUAAGUGGGCUGCUUUUCCUAUGAAAAACACAGAGAAGAACAUUUUGUGUUGAGUCAUAAGGGUUGAGACGCAAUCAAAGCUCAGGGGUAAAAACCCAAACAAACAAAACUUAAGAUGUAAGGCUUCAAAGAAGCUGGCAGUGGGGGUAGGAAUACAUUUGUUCUAUGUGUAAUUUCUUAACAUGGCAGUAAAGCAUAGCAUAUGAGGCUUUUGAAAUGCACAAUGAUCAACUAAAGCUAAAAUUAUUUAGUUUCCCUUGAAGAAAUAAGUGAAUAAUACAGAUCUGGAAAUCAUAAGGCUGAGAACAUUUUUAUGCAUACUGCAUAACAAAAUAAACCCUUUACAUAAGACAGUAAUAAUGCCCAUUAAUGAAUAUACGUAUGGCAGAGAUUUUAAUUCCAUGCAUAUGAUUUAAUAAUCGCAGAAAAAAAACAUACAAAGAAGAAAAAAAAAACCCCACAUUAAAAAAACCUGCUUAAGCAUAAUCAAAAUUCCUUUUGCAUUGCACUUUAGAAGAGGAGAUCUGCAUCUAGACUCAGUCUCCAGCAUCCCAAACACACAAGGGUAAACCCCUGUAUAAACGGACAGUUUCAUGUAAUUUACUUGGUAUAACUCUUUCUUGCUCCCAACAGUUUUACAUUGUCCCAGUAAUUGUACUCCUUUCAUAUUUCUUCUUUUUGUACCUAAAACAUAUAUAUGAACUUCUUUGUUAAUGCUCACAGUUAUUAUAAUGGUUAUCAUAAUGGUUUCAAGCAAACAGCUCUUGUUUAAAAAAAAAAAAUAUCUCUCUAAUGUAAGUAAAUACUAUAAUUUUAGGAUUGGAAGCCGCUUUCUGUCUACUGGGAAAUAAUUUUUAAGAUUAAAUAGUUUGCAUUAAUGUCCAAAAGCUAAUAAAGAUUACUGGAAAUAGGUUUCUUCGUUUAGAAUAACUUCUGUGUAUGAUGAUGCAUAGGGUUUGUUUUUGUUGUUUUUUUUUUGCCCUUCCCGUUUUUAUUCUUUAAGGUAAAAAAAGU
Molecule: long non-coding RNA, 2081 nt
Organism: Accipiter nisus (Eurasian sparrowhawk)
Lineage: Eukaryota; Metazoa; Chordata; Aves; Accipitriformes; Accipitridae
Source: Ensembl